Molecule: unclassified non-coding RNA, 405 nt
Filed under: soil metagenome
Description: partial contains 5.8S ribosomal RNA, internal transcribed spacer 2, and large subunit ribosomal RNA
Rfam family: 5.8S ribosomal RNA (bases 1-121)
Source: RNAcentral
GAUGAAGAACGCAGCGAAAUGCGAUAAGUAAUGUGAAUUGCAGAAUUCAGUGAAUCAUCGAAUCUUUGAACGCACCUUGCGCCCUUUGGACAUUCCGAAGGGCACGCCUGUUUGAGUAUCAUGAACACCUCAACUCUCACGGCUUGUCCGUGAUGAGCUUGGACUUUGGGGGUCUUGCCGGCCUGUGGUCGGCUCCUCUCAAAUGGAUCAGCUUGCCAGUGUUUGGUGGCAUCACAGGUGUGAUAACUAUCUGCGCUUGUGGUUUUCCAUCAGAUAACCUUCAGUGAUAUGGAGGUUCGCUGGAGCUCACAAAUGUCUCUCCUUAGUGAGGACAGCUCUUUGAACGUUUGAUCUCAAAUCAGGUAGGACUACCCGCUGAACUUAAGCAUAUCAAUAAGCGGAGGA